UCUAGCGUAUUUUGGAUGUUC
Molecule: non-coding RNA, 21 nt
Filed under: Arabidopsis thaliana (thale cress)
Lineage: Eukaryota; Viridiplantae; Streptophyta; Magnoliopsida; Brassicales; Brassicaceae
Source: RNAcentral